This 1343-nucleotide ribosomal RNA is filed under the name uncultured bacterium. RNAcentral's name for it is "16S ribosomal RNA". It matches the Rfam family "Bacterial small subunit ribosomal RNA", at positions 28 to 1378 of the family's 1533-position model. The record is from RNAcentral.
GACGAACGUUGGCGGCGUGCUUAACACAUGCAAGUCGAACGGAAAGGCCCUGCUUUUGUGGGGUGCUCGAGUGGCGAACGGGUGAGUAACACGUGAGUAACCUGCCCUUGACUUUGGGAUAGCUUCAGGAAACUGGGGCUAAUACCGGAUAGGAGCUCCUGCUGCAUGGUGGGGGUUGGAAAGUUUCGGCGGUUGGGGAUGGACUCGCGGCUUAUCAGCUUGUUGGUGGGGUAGUGGCUUACCAAGGCUUUGACGGGUAGCCGGCCUGAGAGGGUGACCGGCCACAUUGGGACUGAGAUACGGCCCAGACUCCUACGGGAGGCAGCAGUGGGGAAUAUUGCACAAUGGGCGGAAGCCUGAUGCAGCAACGCCGCGUGCGGGAUGACGGCCUUCGGGUUGUAAACCGCUUUCGCCUGUGACGAAGCGUGAGUGACGGUAAUGGGUAAAGAAGCACCGGCUAACUACGUGCCAGCAGCCGCGGUGAUACGUAGGGUGCGAGCGUUGUCCGGAUUUAUUGGGCGUAAAGGGCUCGUAGGUGGUUGAUCGCGUCGGAAGUGUAAUCUUGGGGCUUAACCCUGAGCGUGCUUUCGAUACGGGUUGACUUGAGGAAGGUAGGGGAGAAUGGAAUUCCUGGUGGAGCGGUGGAAUGCGCAGAUAUCAGGAGGAACACCAGUGGCGAAGGCGGUUCUCUGGGCCUUUCCUGACGCUGAGGAGCGAAAGCGUGGGGAGCGAACAGGCUUAGAUACCCUGGUAGUCCACGCUGUAAACGGUGGGUACUAGGUGUGGGGUCCAUUCCACGGGUUCCGUGCCGUAGCUAACGCUUUAAGUACCCCGCCUGGGGAGUACGGCCGCAAGGCUAAAACUCAAAGGAAUUGACGGGGCCCCGCACAAGCGGCGGAGCAUGCGGAUUAAUUCGAUGCAACGCGUAGAACCUUACCUGGGUUUGACAUGGAUCGGGAGUGCUCAGAGAUGGGUGUGCCUCUUUUGGGGUCGGUUCACAGGUGGUGCAUGGCUGUCGUCAGCUCGUGUCGUGAGAUGUUAGGUUAAGUCCCGCAACGAGCGCAACCCUUGUUCACUGUUGCCAGCACGUUAUGGUGGGGACUCAGUGGAGACCGCCGGGGUCAACUCGGAGGAAGGUGGGGAUGACGUCAAGUCAUCAUGCCCCUUAUGUCCAGGGCUUCACGCAUGCUACAAUGGCUGGUACAGAGAGUGGCGAGCCUGUGAGGGUGAGCGAAUCUCGGAAAGCCGGUCUCAGUUCGGAUUGGGGUCUGCAACUCGACCUCAUGAAGUCGGAGUCGCUAGUAAUCGCAGAUCAGCAACGCUGCGGUGAAUACGUUCCCGGG